UGAGGAAUUUUGCGCAAUGGGAGCAAUCCUGACGCAGCAACGCCGCGUGGGUGAAGAAGGCCUCCGGGUCGUAAAGCCCUGUCAGGUGGGAAGAAGGGUCCUAUCAGGAAAGGGGUGGGAUUUGACGGUACCACCAGAGGAAGCACCGGCUAACUCCGUGCCAGCAGCCGCGGUAAUACGGAGGGUGCGAGCGUUAUUCGGAAUUACUGGGCGUAAAGCGCGUGUAGGCGGGGGAGCAAGUCUGAUGUGAAAGCCCCGGGCUAACCCGGGAAGUGCAUUGGAAACUGUUUUUCUUGAGUACUGGAGAGGAAGGGGGAAUUCCCGGUGUAGAGGUGAAAUUCGUAGAGAUCGGGAGGAAUACCAGUGGCGAAGGCGCCCUUCUGGACGGUUACUGACGCUGAGACGCGAAAGCGUGGGGAGCAAACA
RNAcentral lists this ribosomal RNA (426 nucleotides) under uncultured bacterium. RNAcentral's name for it is "bacterial SSU rRNA". It matches the Rfam family "Bacterial small subunit ribosomal RNA", at positions 355 to 774 of the family's 1533-position model. The record is from RNAcentral.